This 8104-nucleotide long non-coding RNA is filed under the name Eucalyptus grandis. Its description in RNAcentral is "long non-coding RNA (EGRA_LNC005296)". Lineage: Eukaryota; Viridiplantae; Streptophyta; Magnoliopsida; Myrtales; Myrtaceae. The record is from RNAcentral.
AUGACUUGAAAUCUCUAUAAAUAACCGGGGGAUUUGCUUUGUCAUGCAGGUAUUCUAUACCUUUAGCUGCACCGGCCGCCAUCAUCAUUCGGGUAUUCCAAUCUAGCGGCUCCUUAUCCAGUGGAAGCUGUGUACCGAUAGCAUAAUGCUAAUAUCAGUUGCCUAAUACAAACAGCUAAUUUUCACAUAAUUCAGCCAGAAUGUGAACACGUGUAAAUAAUUGAAAUCAUAGUAUCAAAUUCUUGAUCUUGUUGGUAUCUGGCAAGAAAAGCUCAAUUUCGCACUUUCAGUCUAGGCCACUUCAAGGCAGAGUUCUAGGGAAGUGCAAAUAAAUAUGUGCUAAAUUACCUAGAUUAAAUUAUAGAAGGAAGGACCUCUUAUUAAGGAUAAUUGAUUUUACCACGAAGACGAUAUUCCAAUGAUCCCAAGGGCAUCAAUUCAUAAACAAGAAGCUGUUGAACACCAUCAGCACAGCAACCAAUCAGAUUUAUGAGAUUAGGGUGAUCCAGAAGGCUCAGCAUCAGAACCUCCACCAGAAAUUCAUGGUUACCUUGUGAACCAUUUCAAUCUUGUUGUUUAACUGCAGCAGCUUACAAAUGACUGAGGUCAACGUAAUAACUACAUAUAACAGCAAUAUUCAAGAGAAUCAAGAGUAGCUACCAAAGAAAUUAGAAUUUAAUAGAGCAGAACUGCAGCCAGCCUAACUAUAGUAUGACUAAUAGUAUCUGAAUCUUGAAUUUGGUUGAUGACUUAACCUGGGCAUAAUGUCUAUAUAAAAUGUCAAUAUGACGAUUUCAAAAUUAUUAUUCUAAGACAGAUACAAUAAAGUCGAAGCUCUUCAGAUGUCAUUAAAACCAACCAUGUCAAACUCAUUCGAAAAACUACUCCAGGUGUUUCAAAUUAAUAGAUCUGCUGCACCAACUUGGACUCUUCUGCUCAGACAGAAAAAGUCUAAGGAUUGAUUGCACUGUUCACAGUUUGUUAAAAACACAGCCUUUCAGCGAAAGCAAAAGAAAGGGACUAAACAAAUGUUCCACUAAACUGGAGGCAACUACACAUAAAGUGUUAGCUUCACUUGUAGAGGGAUGGAAAUAUUUUUAAAAGAUACACUGUUCAAGUGAUUUUUCGACCCAAAAAAAAAAAACUGAUUCAAACAUGAAACGCAGUCUUUUCUAUGAAUUCAUUCCUUCUCUCCAUGUUAGCUGAUCCAGAAAAGGCCCUUAGGAGAUUGUAACAUAUAGCUAACUUUAGCUUUCAGACUUCAGGUCAAACAGUUGGUUCAUUGACCAAAAACUAAAGACUGGAAAGGGAGAACUAGCUGAUGCUGAUUUUUAUUAAAAACACAGCCAUCAGAUGCCACAUACACGAUGCAUACAGAAAAGAGCACAUUAUCCACCUGUCGAGUGCUCUCGAGUCUUCCCUUUAUAUACACCCAGAUCAUCCUUUACCUAAGAAACACUGCGGCUAGAAGUUCUUCAUAGCAGCGUCGAGUUCGUGGAAGAUAAAGGUUUGAGCAGCAAAAUGUGCACCCGGUCCAUCCUUCGGGCCAAUUAGAUCCCUUUUCAACCCCACAAUGCUUCUGUAAUUUGUGGCUCCUAAUAUUUCACCAACAAAUGAAUGCAGAGUAUUUCUGCUCCCGCAAUACUUCACCACCAAAUGAAUGCGGAUCAUUUUAAAUCAAGCAUUAGGAAAUAUUUCUAUUGGGAAAACAAUUGGGGGUAACCCUUUUUCAACGCAAUCCAAGUUCCUGUUUUGGGGAGAUUUGCCUCCGAAAGUGAGGUUUUUCAUUCCAAUUCAUUGCAUCUGUCUUAUGAUCCCCCAAGGAACCGUUAAGAAAAAAGAUGUUAUCUGAAUUUGGGAAACAGUAACAGUAACAGUGAAUUAGUAAUUUUCUCCUCAUGUAAUAGUAUUUAUGGUUUGAAGCUGGGGAUGGUGGCAUGCUCUUAAGUAACGUGCCUAGAUUCCACAAAAAAAUGUACCGAAUUCAUCUCAAAUGCAUUCACAAAGGAAGAGACAAUGAAAUUAUCAAUGUAAAGCAACUUCUGAUUACAUCUCGACAUAUGAUAUCUAGAGUUUUGUUUCUUUAGAUAAGGUGAUCGAAGCCCAGUGGGGAUCAAUCUCCUUUGAUUGUUGUAUAAGGCUCAAUAAGAGCCGUUUAUGUUCGGCCAGAUGAAUGACGAUGGCCCUCGACUGCCAUUCUAGGUUUGCUUUUCUAGGAGCCAGUCACCCAAGCAAAUAUCGAAUACUAGGAUUAAAAAAUUUAGGCCCUCUAAGACCAAUCAGAAUCCAUAUGCAUCAAUUUGAUAACAAGGAGUGAGCAUGAAUGACACUGAUGAUGGUGAUGAUCGAUCUAGGCCUACCAAAAAUAUAUACCACAGUGUCACAAGGCUCAAGAAAUACUUUCAUAGUGAAGCUAAUAGCAGCAUAUAAGAGAAAAUUCCAAAUAAAAACUUGAAGUGGAGUUUGUGUCAAAUAAGAGCCUAAAUGGCCAUGUAAGUCUCAAAUUAAAGCUUAAAGUGGCAAUGGCAACUUUAAAUAAGGGUCUAACCUCGAAAAUCACCAACCGGCCAAAUAUUUCUAUCGACUAAGGGCAGUUUUGUCAAAAAACAAUCUUAAUUUAUAUUUUCAUUGUUUUUCUUUUCAAUGAAGGCCCGGCCAUCCUCAUUGGCAAGGAUCGACCUUGCUUGUGGUUAGCGAGGGUAGCCUCGCCUGUGACUUUCAAGGGCGGCCUCGCCCAAGGCAAGGGUUGUCAAGGCGAGGCCAUCCCUCGCCUUUCACUAGUGAGGCGACCCUCACUGGGCCUCACCUAUGGUUAGCAAGGGUGACCUCACCCAAGGCAAGGGCAACUCUUGCCAACCCUCUCCAAGCAUCGUUGGUGGCCAGCUAUCAUUAAGACCAGCCACCAGAGAAGAAGAAAGAACAAAUCGGAAAAAGGAAAAACAGAAAAGAAAAAAGAAGGAAUGAAAAAAUUCAAAAAGAAAAAAAAUGCCAUUGACCAACCAAAAAUCAAGCCCUUCUUUGAAACUAAUAGUCAUUUUAGAUUUUUAUUUGAAAUAAGAUUGACUUCAACCCUUAUUUGAAAAAAUGAGAAUAUUUCAAAUCCUUAUCUUAAACAAGGUUCAUUUCUGGCUGUAAUUUGAAAAAAUGAGGACACCUUAGGCCCAUAUUUGGAAUUUUCCCAGCACAUAAUUCUGCAUAAUAUUGAUCACCCAUAACUAGGCAAUAUCAAAAGUUCACUGCAGAUGCUUGCAAUUUUAUGCAUCUUGAAUCAAGCAAACCUAUCCGGGCUCAAUUUAAAUUGAGAUACGAGAAUCAACGCCUUCCAACAAUGCAUCUCAGUGAUAAAGCAGUAAAAGAUGGGAAAAAAGAGAGAGGGCACAGCAUCAUGUCCACAGCAACAAUCACUAUCAUUUAUAUAGAAGAAAGAGGAGCAUAAAAAAAAUUCCUCGACUAAUCCAUUUAAAAGGAAGCGGCGGAUACACAAUCAUAGGAAGAUUGGAGUUGGACGAGCACUGGCAGCAAAGAGAGGCGCAUAAUACACCAAGCCGGCACACCACAACCAACCAAUUCUCCAGAUUCUCCAUACCCUGCACUGUCCCAAUGCUUUACGAAAUUCUCCUUACAUAUUGGUCAAGAUUUGUAUUGAAAAAGUCACACCUUCAGAAAGGAUAAGAAAAGGUGUAAGGAGAGAAAAUAACAGCUUCUGCAGUUAUGCAAAUAUAACUCACAGAAAGAAAAGCAAUGGUCACCACGAAAUGUCUUUAUCCCAAAUUCCAAAUCAUACAUCCACAGAAGUACUAGUAUCAAAAAGAUGCAAGCCAGGUCCUGAAACUGAUGACCCGUAUCAAAAGCAUUGGGACAGUGCAGGGUUUAUUAUCCAGAAUGACAAAAAAGUAUCACUGAGGAUUUUAACAGACAGAUACUUCCAGCAGACAAUCUGACUAUUUUGAUCCCCUAUAGAACACUAUUUCAAUAAUAGAUCAUCAACAUUGACGUGCGUCAUCUAAUCGACCAUGUUAAACCAACAAAAGUUCAUCAGUCACCUGAUAGGAGUUCCUGGAUCGUAGAGAGGGUUUUUAGCCACAUAUUCAACAUAUAGACUGUAUAUAUACUUCAAAGCUUCUCGUAGAUCACCAGUCCUGGGAUGCAUAACCAAUAUUAUCCGCAAGGGCACGAGGAAUAAGAAGACCAGAAAUAGGAAAAAAAAAAAAAACAGGAGAACAGAUUGAUGGUUAGUAAGAGUCUUCUAAGGAGAAGUACACUAAUGGGCAAAGAUCUGAUCCAAGAACAAAUUGACGUUAAUGUAUUUGCUGAAAUAGAAGCAUAAGCCAAAUCCUUAACAUGUGGCAAUGUGAUUUUCAACAAAUUCAUUUUGCAUUGUCGAGCAUAAAUAAUAAGUAGUCAAUGCACAGAAAAAAGGAGUUAACAGGAGCAAACCAUUUCUCACUUGUAUUAUGCGAUUAUGGAAGCACAAACACCUUCUAAUUGUGUGGUGCCUUUAGAUACAUCGCUAAAGGUGUCGGUUCCUUAAUAAUGCUCAGUUUUAACAGGUCUUGCCAAUUUGCUAAGAUUAUUUAAGUUUUUAGCGCAUUCAUCCGAGAUAGAAAAAUACUCCAAAGACUGCAGAAUAAGGUAAUCUAACCUUUAUACCAGAAGGACUUUCCAUGAAACUAAGUUUGUAUGUAUUAGUGCGGAAACUGUGAAAUGAACAACCCGGGCCUGGUAACAGUAGCACCCCGAGAUUUCCUCUGUCUGCACUGCAAGAGGAAAAAACAGAGAGUGUGCAAGUUAAUCGCUGAACAUCCGGUUCUCCUGUAUCUUCUCCGACAUACUUGGCACUUGGCUAUGGAAAGGUUUUGCAACUUUAAGCUCAUGGCACAAAAAAUUCCUCCUACUCAUGAGCUACUUGAACUCGACUAAACGACUGCUCGAAUAUUAAGUUAAGUUGAGUUUCGAGGUAUGUUUGCAUGCACGAGGAGCAUGGGAGUGCACAUAAACAAAAGAAACACAAAUUUCAUGAAGUCUAAAAUUUCUACAGCAGGUUCAACUUCUGUUAGAUUUUUCUCUUCCUUUGAGCUCGAGCUCGACUUGGAAUUUUUUCAAAGUCCUCUCAAUCAAAGGUUCGCUGACCAUUCGUGAGGAUAAACGGCAAUUCCGCGGAAGAACAAGGAAAUUACCAAAUUAAAAAACCGGAUUACCAUCAAAUGGUGCCUGACUUGAACACACACGAUUCAAAAGGAAUCGAAGACCAAUUACGUAAAAGAAUCGAAGUCAAAGCAGAUGAUCAAGCAAGCGAACAGCAUCUACCUUCCUAAGACAACGCAAAUCGAAGUCCUCCCGGUAGAACAGGCACACCCCGUUCCGCCGUCGGCGCCGGCGGCGACGGGCUGACGUCGGAGCCCCCGAAGAACUGCAUCCUCCCUUCCCAGAUCGCGAUUUCGCCUGAAAGACGCCGCGAACAGCCCCCCGCGGUUUCGCAAGGAGAAAUGGCGUUCCCGUCGAUUUGUACGAGGAGAGUGUAGAAAAUGAAAUUUGCUGCGAUGAAGCUUUUCGCGGUAAAUAGGAUUUUUAUGCAGAGCACAUAGCAUUGGUAAACAACUUGCAAAAAUACUUAUUGCAAGAAAAAAUUAAAAUUAGAAAAGAAAAUAAUCUUAGAGAUUAGUUACUAAUGUUGACCUAGCCAUGAUCAACUAUGUCUCUAUCCAAGUAGUCGCCAUAUUACAUAUUGAACCAAAGUUAAUAAAUUAAAAGUUCAAGUAUCAAAUUAUACAUUGAGCCAAAGUUUAGAGAUUGUUUAUAUCAUUAUCCCAAAAAACCUUCAUUAAGUCCCCGACUUGAUCCAUAUACAAUUGAACGAAGAAGAAAGUGCUUAAGGCAAUAUCUCGAAAGAUAUAAAUUCUUCUGUUAUUGAAUCAAAUCGAGUUAAUUACUAGUAUAUUCAAACCCAAUUAUUAUGUUAUCUAAUUAAAGAUCCAGCUAAUUACUAGUUUAUUUGAACCCAUCCCAGUCGACAAUGCUCGUGCCGCGGUUGGGUAGAACUAACCUAUUGUUCCAUUUUAUCAUAUGGUGCUUCUAAAUAUUGCAAGCGAUUUUAGUUGAAAUUCAUGCCCAGGAAGGGAGUCAUCAAAUGAACGACUUGUAGCUCCAAUCGGAUGAGACCUCAAAAACUUGCAUCAUUUGCAAUGUCCCUGUGAUGAGCAAAGGAGCAAGAAACAUUCGAAACCAAAGGGAGUUGCACUACCAACCGCGCGGCAAUUCAGUAGAUCAGAUGCUGCUUAAAAGUUAAAACUAGAGUUAGAAUAUGCAGCCAAAUCCUGCUCAGAAUAGACUUACAAGAUUCAGCACAAGCAUUACAAGACAGACAAUCUCCCUCUUCCUUUGGAUUCUCUUAUCUAUAAUGCUGUUCUACCAAUGAUGUACAUCCAACUCCCUCUUCAUCCAAAUUUCAAGAAAGUAUAAACAGAGAUGGAGAGAUUAGACCCGAAAAAGAGCCGAGUUAGAGUAGCAGGGACCAAGUCCACCUAAUUCAACCAGUCUCUCCGCUCAUUUCCCUUCGACAAAAUGGAAUAUGCACAACACGACGUGAAUGCCCUGCGUUUGCUUUGUAUAAGUUCACAGAAAGCAAGCCAAGGGGAGGCUCAAGGAGGAAACGAAGCGAGAAAUUGUCGAUCAACACAACCGGCCAUUAGAUCCAUCGAAACUGCCUUGAGCACUCUGCCGUCUUUUCUCUCGCCAAUUCUCUCCCCACAUCUUCGCCUCCGCAACAGCCCUUUCUCUAUUCAAGUCCCUAUUUAACAACUUACCGUCCUUUGGAGAAUUGUCCUUCUCGGACCCCUCGAAUUCCCACCUGCUGCGCCCGGAACCUCCGGCAUCCUCAUUCCUCAAAAUCUUGCUGCCUCUCUCAUCAACGCUGGAUCCUUUGUUCCCAAAAUUAGAAGCUACGUUGGGAUCAUACGCUUGGUUCGCUAGGUAAGAAAGAGCCGUCACCACGUCCCCAAUGAGAGGACGUGCAGCCGCCUGCUCUUGUAUACACAUGGAUGCCACAGCAAGUGCCUGAUAUAGACCUCGCAUUGGAUAACGCCCUUGCAGACUUGGAUCCACCAAUUUCGAGAAUUUUCGCCUCUCAUUGAAUAGUGGACGUGCCUGCACAGGAAAAACAUCAAAAAAAGCAACUUAAAAUUUGUUUGGAAAAGACCUUCCCUUCAGGGUUUUCAAAAAUAGAGGCAAAGCCAAGCUUGUGUAACUGCUUUGUGGUUACCGUUUCUCAGAACUACUCUAUAAAGCCCAGCUCUGAAAGCAUCAAAAAGAGACUUUUAACUUGCAAUCGCUUUGUUUUCCUUUGUGUUCAGCUACGUUGCUAUUCAAUUAAAACUAUGUAGUAACAGAACGCUUCACUCUGAAAACUCUAUCCAUUCCAAAAGCACCUAUAUGUACUUCUAAAAGGAAGAAUAACUUGAAACUUGUUUUCAUUUUCAUCCGUGAAGAAAUUCUUCAAGAACAUUAAAUACUCACUAACUUAUUCUAAGACAUUGCCUUAUAGGUUAACAAAGCAGAAGUAGUCCAAUUAAGAUGGAAUUCAUGGUCAUGCAACCAAGACAUAAGUUAAACUAGAAUUACCCAUGUCACAAGGUUCUGUUCCCCAUGCGGACGGGAGCUGUCGAUGGCUUUUCGUCCCGUGAUCAGCUCUAAGAAGACUACCCCAAAACUAUAAACGUCAGAUUUAACAGUUAAUUGUCCCGUCAUUGCAUACUCCGGAGCACAAUAUCCAUAAGUGCCCAUGACCCUUGUGGAAACGUGUGAUUUGUCUCCAACAGGACCAAGCUUCGCGAGACCAAAAUCAGAGAGCUUGGGAUGGAACUUUUCAUCCAGUAAUAUAUUGGACGACUUGAAAUCUCUAUAAAUAACUGGGGGAUUUGCCUUGUCAUGGAGGUACUCUAAACCUUUGGCUGCACCAGCUGCUAUCGUCAUUCUGGUGUUCCAAUCUAGCGGUUCCUUACCCAGUGGAAGAUCUGUAGCAAUAGCAUAAUGCUAAUAUCAGUUGCUUAUUACAAAGAGCUGAUUUUCACAUAAUUGAGCCAGAAUGUGAACACACGUCAACAUAAUA